GACGGAGGGCGCGGGUGUUAUUCGUUUUGAUUGGGUGUAAAGGGUACGUAGGUGGUUUCUAGUUUUUUGGCUAAAAGCGCGGAGUGUUCCUACGCGAUAGCCUUUGAAAAAGGAAACUUGGGUUGAAAAUAGGUCGGGGCAAAAUCUCAAGUAGGGGUAAAAUCUUACUAUAUGAGAUAGAACGUCAGCUGGCGAAGGCGCCUUUCCGGUUUCAACUGACGCUCAGGUACGGAAGCUUAGGGAUCAAACGGG
Molecule: ribosomal RNA, 252 nt
Filed under: uncultured bacterium
Lineage: Bacteria
Description: partial 16S ribosomal RNA
Rfam family: Bacterial small subunit ribosomal RNA
Source: RNAcentral